AGAGUUUGAUCCUGGCUCAGGACGAACGCUGGCGGCGUGCUUAAUACAUGCAAGUCGAACGGGGUCCAACCGGUGGCAACACCGGUGAAGACCUAGUGGCGAACGGGUGAGUAGCACGUGAGCAACCUGCCCCGAAGACUGGGAUAACACCGGGAAACCGGUGCUAAUACCGGAUGUCCCCAUCAGACCGCAUGAUCUGAUGAGGAAAGGAUUUCUGCUUCGGGAGGGGCUCGCGGCCUAUCAGCUUGAUGGUGAGGUAAUGGCUCACCAUGGCGACGACGGGUAGCUGGUCUGAGAGGACGAUCAGCCACACUGGGACUGAGACACGGCCCAGACUCCUACGGGAGGCAGCAGUAGGGAAUCUUGCGCAAUGGGCGAAAGCCUGACGCAGCAACGCCGCGUGAGGGACGAAGGCUUUCUGAGUUGUAAACCUCUUUCAGCAGGGACGAUUGUGACGGUACCUGCAGAAGAAGCACCGGCCAACUACGUGCCAGCAGCCGCGGUGAUACGUAGGGUGCGAGCGUUGUCCGGAUUUAUUGGGCGUAAAGAGCUCGUAGGCGGUUCGAUAAGUCGGGUGUGAAAUCUCCAGGCUCAACCUGGAGUCGCCACUCGAUACUGUCGUGACUNNNNNCCGGUAGGGGACCAUGGAAUUCCUGGUGUAGCGGUGAAAUGCGCAGAUAUCAGGAGGAACACCAGUAGCGAAGGCGGUGGUCUGGGCCGGCACUGACGCUGAGGAGCGAAAGCGUGGGGAGCGAACAGGAUUAGAUACCCCCGUAGUCC
Molecule: ribosomal RNA, 780 nt
Filed under: uncultured bacterium
Lineage: Bacteria
Description: bacterial SSU rRNA
Rfam family: Bacterial small subunit ribosomal RNA
Source: RNAcentral